Molecule: long non-coding RNA, 1483 nt
Organism: Ahaetulla prasina
Lineage: Eukaryota; Metazoa; Chordata; Lepidosauria; Squamata; Colubridae
Exons: 3
Source: RefSeq, a predicted model, not a curated record
CUGGGAGUGAGGAACAAGAGAAGGAUUCAGCAUUCAGAACCAGAGCAGUGUUUUACCCAGGUUUCAGCUGUGUUGUCCUCAAGUGCAAAGGGUUCUGGAAAUGUUAACUGUGCUGGUUACUCAGAGGAAGAAGACGGUCACUUGAGCUCAUUACCGCAAGAAGAUCCCCGACUUCAUUCUCACAUCCCUGUGGAAUUCUGGGCAACAAAAGGAUACUCUUCUAUUUGAAGAUAUUGUCCAUCUGAAUAGCUGUCCAGCUUAAGUCUGAGUUAAGGCAAAAGAAUCCAGAAUGGAGAACAGUGGGUCUUCAAGUUGCCCAUCAAGCAAGAGCAUCUGGUUACAGUUUCCCCUUCUUUGCAGAACAGAGUUGUAUAAUUUUCCUGAUUGAGAUGGAGCAAUUAGACCCAAAUAUGUGCGUCUUUAUAUAAAUUAAUGUGUAGAUCAUUUUCUGUUUGAUAUAGGUUACAUUGCUGUCUUUCUUGGAUAGUGGUAACACUGAAGUGGACACCCUAGCUUUUAAUUUUCUGUCUCCUAAAGAUUAUUCUCGAAACAAAAACACAAAAGAUGCUUCAAAAUGGAGGAUUCUGGCUAGGAAAAGCAGUGAAACUUAAAACUUCAUAUAAGUUGGACCCACCAUGUGUUCUCACUAGAACAGUGUUGUGUGGGGGUUUUUUGUUUAGAAUUUUAUUAUCUUAAAACUUCAUCAAGAUUUUGCUACUUUAAAAAUGAAGAGGAUCUAUGUAAAAAUAAUACUCUAGCACAUUUUUCUCUCCCCCCCACUUUUUCCCCUCUGAUCUUUGUUGAAUAAGCCAAGAUGUGAAAACAAAGAGUUCUAUAAGCAACAUGCUAAAAAGAAUUCAAUUCGCUACUGAUUUUUCGUUUAGCAAGCAAUCCCUAGUGGCUUGACAACAUCAAAUGGGAAUUUUUGACUCUUCAUCUGUUUUUUAUUUUAUUCAUGCUUUGUUCUCAUGGUAGCUUUUCAUCUUGAAUUGUCCUCUGUGUUUUUGUAAAGUCUUUCUUAGUGCUAGUUAUUGGCCAAGUCUUUGGGAGAAGCAACACAAUAAGGAAAAAGACCACAGUUGAUUACAUGGUAUAUUUGUAAGCAUAUUUUUAAUGUGUGGAAAUAAGGAAAUCAGCUGUAGUAAAAUGAGAGAAAUGUUACCUUAGAUGUAUCAUGGUAAAAUCAUUAUUCAUCUGGAAAUUAAAAUUUGUAAAAAGGAGCAAAAAAAGCAUAAGAAAGAUAGACUUUUUAAACGAAAAAAAUGUGUAGGAAUUUAUUCUUUCUUCUUAACUGUUUGCUGAGUUUUUCCCCUAAAGCACAGCCAUUGUUGGAAUGCUCAACUCUUGAUUUUUUAAAAAAUGAUGACAUAAAUAUUACAUGACUAAGUCUCAAAAUUCAUAGCAAGAAAUAGACCUAUUCUGAGCUGAUACCUGAACAAAGUUGAAUGCAACCAUCAACCAAGGUGGUUCUACUUUCAUAAAA